Molecule: long non-coding RNA, 6376 nt
Filed under: Bemisia tabaci
Lineage: Eukaryota; Metazoa; Arthropoda; Insecta; Hemiptera; Aleyrodidae
Description: lncRNA ENSSSA1UGG013147
Source: RNAcentral
UCUCCGUUCAAAAAUGCAAGAAUGAAAAAUCUCUGACCAGGCUUACUGGGACGAGCAGAAUAACUUCAGAAAUUUGAGACUUUUUCUACGGGGGGCGUAUGAUCUAAAAGUAUGGAUUAGCAAGGUGGAUAGCGUAUGACGUAUUGAUUAUAACUAACUGAAAAUCACUUCGAGUAACUUGAACUGUGACGUACUCCUCGUUAUUAAUUUCACGGGUUGAAACACUCAAUCGCGACAAAAAUUAUAUUCAUCUAUAAUCUCUGUUACAUCACUAGAUUGAAUCAUGUGAUGUGAGUAGGUAACAGCUUGUGGUGGGCUGCAUGCAGUUCGAGCUUGUUCUUUAAACUCCUAUAGUGAUACAUUUCAGUAGCGCUAAGUUUCAAGAGAGAGAAUAUUUUAAUUUAUUGUUCAAAAAGUACUCGUCGCGAAUUAACCUACAACUGUGUUCAUCCUCUGAAGCUCUGUCUACGCGCGGAUUUUCAUGACAGCAAUGAUACAGACGAGGCUUCUCGGCAACUGGUGUUACCUAUUUUUAUGCUGGGUGCUGUUGAUUUUUCAUGGAAUUCGAUCAUAUUCUUGCCGCACGACCACUCAGCACCCAGACGCGAGAGAAGAGCUUCAUAGAGGGGCGGGAUCAGGCCAUCCGCUGACGAACAAAACGCUGAAGGAAGAGUUUUUGGAGACUCAAAAGUUGGAUAGCAAGACGAUGAGACCGGAAAAAAGUCCCGAAAACAGGAAUACAGGAUCGACAGAGAGGUUCAUUAACCAUUUCCUACAAAUCGUCAACCAAGACCACUUCAUCGACAAAAGUCUCCUCAUUGAGGCUCUAUUCGACAAUAGCUCGGCGCUCGAGCCGAUUUUAAUAACCGCCCCACCGGGAUUCGGCAAAUCUGUGAACCUCGCGAUGAUCUACAGCUUUUUCAACAUCCCCGUAUCCGCCAGCGGGAUCAAAAAACCACCGUCCGAAUCGCCUACAGCCCGAAAAUUCAUCGAUAGAAAACUGAAAAUCACAGGCUGGGCCUCCUUCUCUGCCCUCUUCGGCUCCCGCGGGGUUCUCUACUUGGACUUCGAGAAACUGAGCUCGUUCUACAGCCUCCUCGAAUUCAGAUCACGUUUCUACAGCGUCCUCCGUUCUUCUAUCGACAUGCACCCGUUUCUACGGCUUCUGAAGGACACAACGACGAAAAACUUCGUAAAAAGAUGCUACGAUGCGCCAAUCGAGCGGCACAAGAAACAAUCCGGUCUGAUCGUGUGUCUGGAUAAGUUUGCAAGAAUACUCAACAAGUUUUUCGGAAAUCCGGUUCUAGUUUUAAUAGACGGGGCGACGACUCCGCAUCAGUGGAUUCUGUCCCAGCAGGCCAGCAGGGGUGGACCGUGGUUGACAAACGCGGUUAUCCACGAAAUUCUAGAUUUUACUGAAUCGGCGAAAGCGAAGCUAAUAAAAGGGAAUUGGUUUGUGUGGAAAAGCGUCCUCACCGGGGUCAUGAGCUUCGGCGAAGAGGACAACCUCUACGCGAAUAAUCUGCAAUACAGGCCAGCUUUGAGGGAUGAAUUUUUGAAACCGUUCUAUGGUUUUUUGGGUGAGGAGGUGGACCAGCUGAUCGCCUUACAGCCGCCAACAUCCAGGAAUAACCUAAAGAAAAACAUAGAACACUACUUCAACGGCUACCGAUACUUCCAUUAUCACCAGGAUCUGUCGGAAGACUCGCUAUACUGUCCACAUCAUAUAAUUCAUUACCUGAUCGAAGGGAAACACAACGAUGGCAACUUAUCGAAAGCCGAGUUGAGUUCGUACUGGUCGCCGCGGCCCUUGAACGACUUCAAGUAUCUCCUCAGCCCGGCCCGUUUCGGCAAGAAGUUCAUGGACUCGUUGGACUCGGCAAAGGGUGUCAAAAUUUUCGGGACCAGUAAGCUAGACAGCGUAGCGUUGAUCGCUCUAGUGGAGGCAGAGCGUGGGAUCGGCAACCCUGCCGAACAUAUCGAGGACGUCGUGUUCUAUUACCUGAUGGAGCAGGGUUUCUACAUCCUCAAGGAGGAGCAGGGUGACUCUUCUUGGUUGCUCAGCGUGCCCAAUAAAGCUGUCGAGUUCGCGAUGCGGGUUUUCGCGGAACGGGUCGUGAACCCGUUCCUGAUUGGUCCGAGCUGAUGAGUUAUUUCGGUGUGACGUAGUCAAAAGCUCUUGAUACGCGAUCAAACCCAGCAAUUGAUAUAUCAAGAUCAAGUGCUGUGAUUGGUCCAAGAUAUCGAAUGAGUCAAUCACAACACCUGACCAUAAUAUUGUGAUAGCUAGGUUUGAUCAUGUAGCAAGAGCUAUACUGAACAUUUGAUCAGCGGGAGACGUGGAUGCUCCCAUUGAUGAGAAUCAGGAUAACGUCUGCCCGAGCAGGGUCGCAAAAGUCCCGUUUCUCACGGUCAGGCAUUGAUGCCUCACGGGACAGAAUAGAUCUGAUUGGUUCGACAUUUUUGGACGAUUUUUGUCCCCAGAGGUCUGUGGAGAUAUUCUGUAUGAUCUAGUUUCGAGAGUCUUUCAAUUUUUGUGAGCUAAUAAGGUGUUCCUCUCCGUGGAGGACCACAUCCAUUGGAUAAACACCCGGUUUCAAAGUAUACUGUAUCAGGUGAUCAGGUGUAUCAGGGUGUAUCGGGUGAUAAACUACCUACGUCACGAAAAAGCAGACGUGGUAAGCGAAGUUCACCGACAAUGCGAGCGAUCAACUCGACACUGCAGUCUCAGAGUGUAUUUCCUGACACGCUAGCGAAAAUCGCCUUAAAAAUUUUGAAUAUGCAAACUUUACUACAACCGUGAUCGAAUAGUUGUCGCCAGUAGAAUAUUUUGGGAAACGACUUGUAUGUAUAUGGCUGUUGAGAACGCGAUUACGGCAGUGGACACCACAUGCGAGGGAGAAGUUUUUCAUGUUAUACGAAUUCUCAAAGGAGAGAGAGUUGGUUUCAAGGAAAAUCGUUUGUGUGAUUUAUGGUUAUCAGCUGGAAUUGUAAUGUAUAGUUGGGUCCAGUUUUAUUCAGUAUUACCCAAAAGUAUUAUCUUGAACGUAAUAAUUCUUUUCCUUCUUCUAUUUUUUAAUUUUUUAAGCUCUCUUUCUUUCCUGUUUACUAUUGUGUUAUUCUUUGAAGUAGCCAAAUAUAUUGCGUAUAUGUAAAGUCUGCAGAAAAAGGGACUAGGUAAGUGGCAAUUUUUUGAGAAGAGCAAUGACCUGAGUGAUCGUUAAACGCUCCUGCAAGCAAUAACAUCAGUAUCUGAAUUUUGAAUAUUUCUACCCUAUGAGCUCCCUUUUUCUGAGGACAGUCGCACACUUUGAACAAAUGAACAAUUUGUAACGAUUUUGUAAAAUUGUAGUUUGUAUAUUUUGACAAUUCCAUUUCAGUGUGCUGCUCCCAUUUAUAGCAUCCGGUGUGCCGCUUCAUCACAAAAAAAAGAUCUACCCUCUGAGCGAGUCGCAUACUUACGAUACUUCAAUGAAUUCUAGAAAUAAUUCAAAUUCAUUUUGGGAUGCCUUCUAUAUGUUUGAGAUUUUGAAAAAAAUCUGGUAAUGUCAGGGUAAACCAUUUCGAUCGAUGAAAAGAGCAAUCUAGUGAUUAGUGUCAAAAAUUUUUCCGGACGGCGGAAGAAAUUGAGCCCCCCCCCCCCCCCCACCGUCCAAAUCUCAAAUUAUCAAUAUUUGACAAUACCACUGAGGUGCAAUAGCUUUAAAAGCUACUUAAUAUAAUGUAAGUCUACUUUGGUAAGCACGAGUUUCGGUCAUUUGCAGAAAAAUCUUAUCAUUAAAAUAAAUACGAUUUCCUUAAACGUGCACGAUGUUUUUAUUUUCCUCUUUUUGACAGUUUUUCCGCCGAGCUCUGUGAGUACGUUGCCGAUGAUUUUCGGUGGCGCUACCGCCAACUAAUCGCAACGCACGCAUGAACGCUCUCGACCUACAAUUUCCAAAACUUUACCGCUUUGUCGUUUCAAUGGUUCUCAAAAAUUUACGCAUAAUGUUAAACAUACAAAAAAAAGAGAUAAAUUCCACACGCAAAUAUUCAAUAAUAAAGGUUUCUGGCAUGGCAAAUCGAUGGUGAAACUGCAGAAAUGCGUAUAUCGGUUGCGGCGUUGCAGACUUCCUGUCAUACUUUAUUCUUCAUAUGGGAAACCACUUAACGUCAUUUAUUGAGCACUACGGAUAUUCGUCUUCUCUAUGGGAUGAAUAUUCUGUGAAAAUUUCAAGCCACGAUGUUGGUUUGGUUUCCUUUUAAAAAAUAAAAUAGGAGCGGAGAUUUUCAAACACCGCAACCGAUAUACGCAUUUUUGCAGUUUCACCAUUGAAAUGUUCUGUUUGCGCCUUCUUUCAAACGCCGCACAGUGGAUCGAGUCAACUAGAGAGGUCGGGCAUGAAAUUUUUGACUAAAACAGCAAAUUUUGGUAUUUAUUUCUUCACAUUUUACAUUUCAAGGGGUGCUUAAGGUAGAAUAUUUCACGAGGAAACCAAUGAAACCACUUUUAGAACCUCAAAGUUUUAUUCAAAAGGAGUUAUAAGCGUUUAAAGUUUCCAAAUUUUGUCCGACCUCUCCUAUUGACUCGAUCCGUUGUGCGCCGGGGGAAAAAUAACUAAACUGGAACUGGGACUGGAACUAACUAAAAACUACAUUGGACACACACAUCAGUGCGUUAUUUUUUCUCUCUAUGAAGAGAAGAAAUACUUUUUAGUUCGAUUUUCUCGAGAGGAGAAAAAAUUCAACAAAAAAUCCUUUGGGCUAGCACGGUAAAAAUUAGCUCUCUUCAGAAUUUUAACAAUAAUCUUUUUGGGAUAGAAAAUUUAAAUCUUAUGCAUCAACUGAAUUUCAGACAAAAUGGCUUGAUUGAAAAAUUUCUGUUUUUUUCUAUUGGAUGAAAAAAGCAUGGCAGCUUUCGAAAGUUAGCACACUUCAUCUCCAAAGCUUAUCAAUAAAUGAUCUGGGGCAAAAGAUAACGCAGAAAAAAAGAACAACAGAUGAGGUCAACGUCUUACAAUUUACUGUUAUGAUUCUUUAUUGCUUGAGAUAAGCACCCGCAAAAUUUCACAUUAAACCAUGAAUCUGUCCAGUCCAUAAAAUAAAGCAAAAAGGGAAAGCAUGACACUUUUAAAGCAUGUAUACUCAUCACAUGCUGGAAAAUUUGGCUGUUAUAUUGCCGCCAGGCAAGAUUUUCGCGCGGAAUAUUUUGGGUACUGCUGUUUCCAAAAUGUGCUAUCGAAACUAAUUCAAGGUCUAGAUUUAUGAACCCCUUCUUCUCUAUGGUGAAAUCUAUUAGUUAGUUCUUAGCCAGCAAUACCGUCUAAAGCCAAACAUCUUUCUGUGGCGGAAGUUUCGAAAGAAGGCAGUGCGAUUAUUUCGUUUAUCUUUUUGAUUAUAUUAUUUGUAUACCUGUUUUCCCACUGAAAACAUCUUAGUAAGAAGUAAAAUCCACCAGGACGAAGGUACAGGUAAAGACGUCUUGCAUUUGGUAAAAUUUUCUAUAGCAAAUUUGUAUUUGAAGGAGGGUGGGGGAAAUACAGUGAAAUCUAAACAUUUUUCCUGUUGAAACAACGAUAAUGUUUCACUGUCAAACUGUUAAAUUCACUCGAAUAAUCAAUUCUUGGACUUACGGAGUAUUUUCAAUACCAAAAAUUGCAGAAUCAACCCCUUUAUGCAUAAGGAGAGCAAUCUCAUUCGGGAGCGUUCAUAAAUUACGUAAUGCAUUUAUACGGCAUUUUGGACCCCCUCCCUCCUCCAUCGUAACGCUUUUGUGACUAGGGUUCCUAUCCUCUAACACGUAGAAACAAAACUGAACAACGCUUUCCGUGACCCCCCUCCCCUCCGGCCACUCCCACAACAGCGUUACGCAAUGGAUCGUAUUAUUCGAUAGUGGUUCAACGUAUGGUUUGGUUCAAAGCAAUAGAACAUAACUUCAAACAAAAAUGUUAGGAUAUAAGUUAGAAAAGCUGAAAAAAAGAAAAUUCCUAGUAUUUUCACUUUCCAUUGCCAUGUGCCUCAUUAGAGUUCCUUUAUACUAAGAAUAAAGACAAGGGAGAUCCAUUUCUGAUUGGUUCCCGUAUUUUAGGCCUUCAUAGUGUCACAAACGGGAAUAAAGAUUAUUUUCACCAAUUGCAAAGAUUAUAAACUGGAAUGGACCGGGGAAUAUGGGGUACGGCACGGAACAAAUGGAAUAAGAGAGGAAACGGAGACAGGAAUUUGGAAAUGGGUUGAUCAAAGAUUACAAAAAAACGUCCGAUUUCUAUAAUCUUUAUUUCCGUUGGUGACAUCCAUGAAGCGUCCAGCCCACCUACAAGCUAGAGGCUUCAAAGAGGUCCAUCGAUGCCUUUCCUGGCCCUCUCAUUGGCCAGCGGUUUAAGUCGGGGCAAUCGAUGAG